UUCGGAGGCUCCUCCCGCGGGUGGCAGCGUACGGGGCGCGCCCCUCCGCCAGUCCUCGGUCCUCAGGCCUGUGGCUCCGUUGAGCACCGGCCGCCGGGCCUCUGGGUCCGUCGAGUGGGGACUCCCUGAAAAGCGUGGGCUCCGUGGCCUCCGGCGCGAUCGCGGCGGGUCGGUCUCCUAGCCCUUGUAUUUUCACACAUCCCUAAACCACCCUCAUAUCGUGGCUGUGGUGGAAGUGAUCGCUGAGGGCAAGAAACGGGAUGGGAGCCUCCAGACAUUGUCCUGUGGGUUUGGAAUUCUUCGGAUCUUCAGCAACCAGCCGGACUCUCCUACCUCUGCUUCCCAGGACAAAAGGUUGCGGCUGUACCAUGGCACCCCCAGAGCCCUCCUGCACCCGCUUCUCCAGGACCCCGCAGAGCAAAACAGACACAUGACCCUCAUUGAGAACUGCAGCCUGCAGUACACGCUGAAGCCACACCCGGCCCUGGAGCCUGCGUUCCACCUUCUUCCUGAGAACCUUCUGGUGUCUGGUCUGCAGCAGAUACCUGGCCUGCUUCCAGCUCAUGGAGAAUCUGGCGACGCUCUCCGAAAGCCUCGCCUCCAGAAGCCCAUCACGGGGCACUUGGACGACUUAUUCUUCACCCUGUACCCCUCCCUCGAGAAGUUUGAGGAAGAGCUGCUGGAGCUCCACGUCCAGGACCACUUCCAGGAGGGAUGUGGCCCACUGGACGGUGGUGCCCUGGAGAUCCUGGAGCGGCGCCUGCGUGUUGGCGUGCACAACGGUCUGGGCUUUGUGCAGAGGCCGCAGGUCGUUGUACUGGUGCCUGAGAUGGACGUGGCCUUGACGCGCUCAGCCAGCUUCAGCAGGAAAGUGGUCUCCUCUUCCAAGACCAGCUCCGGGAGCCAAGCUCUGGUUUUGAGAAGCCGCCUCCGCCUCCCAGAGAUGGUCGGCCACCCUGCAUUUGCGGUCGUCUUCCAGCUGGAGUACGUGUUCAGCAGCCCUACAGGAGUGGACGGCAAUGCAGCUUCAGUCACCUCUCUGUCCAACCUGGCAUGCAUGCACAUGGUCCGCUGGGCUGUUUGGAACCCCCUGCUGGAAGCUGAUUCUGGAAGGGUGACCCUGCCUCUGCAGGGCGGGAUCCAGCCCAACCCCUCGCACUGUCUGGUCUACAAGGUACCCUCAGCCAGCCUGAGCUCUGAAGAGGUGAAGCAGGUGGAGUCAGGUACACUCCGGUUCCAGUUCUCGCUGGGCUCAGAAGAACACCUGGAUGCACCCACGGAGCCUGUCAGUGGCCCCAAGGCGGAGCGGCGGCCUGCCAGGAAACCACCCACGUCCCCUUCGACAGGAGUUCCCGUUGGAGGGCGGUAUCUCCCACCUGGAAGCCGACCUGAGCCAGACCUCCCUGGUCCUGGAAACGUCCAUUGCCGAACAGUUACAGGAGCUGCCGUUCACGCCUUUGCAUGCCCCUAUUGUUGUGGGAACCCAGACCAGGAGCUCUGCAGGGCAGCCCUCAAGAGCCUCCAUGGUGCUCCUGCAGUCCUCCGGCUUUCCUGAGAUUCUGGAUGCCAAUAAACAGCCAGCCGAGGCCGUCAACCCUGCAGACCCCGUGACGUUUAACCCUCAGAAGGAGGAAUCAGAUUGUCUACAAAGCAACGAGAUAGUGCUACAGUUUCUUGCCUUUAGCAGAGUGGCCCAGGACUGCCGAGGAACAUCAUGGCCAAAGACUGUGUAUUUCACCUUCCAGUUCUACCGCUUCCCACCCGCAACGACGCCACGACUGCAGCUGGUCCAGCUGGAUGAGGCUGGCCAGCCCAGCUCUGGCGCCCUGACCCACAUCCUCAUGCCUGUGAGCAGAGAUGGCACCUUUGAUGCUGGAUCUCCUGGCUUCCAGCUGAGGUACAUGGUGGGCCCUGGGUUCCUGAAGCCAGGUGAGCGGCGCUGCUUCGCCCGCUACCUGGCCUUGCAGAUCCUGCAGAUCGACGUCUGGGAUGGAGACUCCCUGCUGCUCAUCGGAUCUGCCGCCGUCCACAUGAAGCAUCUCCUCCGCCAAGGCCGGCCGGCUGUGCAGGCCUCCCACGAGCUUGAGGUCGUGGCAACUGAAUACGAGCAGGACAACAUGGUGGUGAGUGGAGACAUGCUGGGGUUUGGCCGCGUCAAGCCCGUCGGCGUCCACUCAGUGGUGAAGGGCCGGCUGCACCUGACCUUGGCCAACGUGGGUCACCCGUGUGAACAGAAAGUGAGAGGUUGUAGCACAUUGCCACCGUCCAGAUCUCGGGUCAUCGCAAACAAUGGAGCCAGCCGCUUCUCUGGAGGCAGCCUCCUCACGACUGGAAGCUCAAGGCGAAAACACGUGGUGCAAGCACAGAAGCUGGCGGACGUGGACAGUGAGCUGGCCGCCGUGCUACUGACCCAUGCCCGGCAGGGCAAGGGGCCCCAGGACAUCGGCUGUGAGUCGGAUGCCACCCGCAGGCGUAAGCUGGAGCGGAUGAGGUCUGUGCGCCUGAAGGAGGCUGGGGGAGAGUUGAGCCAGCGCGGGACGAGCGUGUUGGUGCAGCAGAGCGUUCGCACACAGCACUUGCGGGACCUACAGGUCAUCGCCGCCUACCGAGAGCGCACAAAGGCUGAAAGCAUCGCCAGCCUGCUGAGCCUGGCCAUCACCACAGAGCACACACUCCACGCCACGCUGGGGGUCGCUGAGUUCUUCGAGUUUGUGCUUAAGAACCCCCACAACACACAGCACACAGUGACUGUGGAGAUCGACAACCCCGAGCUGAGCGUCAUCGUGGACAGUCAGGAGUGGAGGGACUUCAAGGGUGCUGCCGGCCUGCACACGCCGGUGGAGGAGGACAUGUUCCACCUGCGCGGCAGCCUGGCCCCCCAGCUCUACCUGCGCCCCCACGAGACCGCCCACAUCCCCUUCAAGUUCCAGAGCUUCUCUGCAGGGCAGCUGGCCAUGGUGCAGGCCUCUCCUGGGUUGAGCAACGAGAAGGGCACGGAUGCCGUGUCACCUUGGAAGUCCAGCGCAGUGCCCACUAAACACGCCAAGGUCUUGUUCCGAGCGAGUGGCGGCAAGCCCAUCGCCGUGCUCUGCCUGACCGUGGAGCUGCAGCCCCACGUGGUGGACCAGGUCUUCCGCUUCUAUCACCCGGAGCUCUCCUUCCUGAAGAAGGCCAUCCGCCUGCCGCCCUGGCACACACUUCCAGGUGCUCGGGUGGGAAUGCUUGGUGAGGACCCCCCAGUCCACGUUCGCUGCAGCGACCCGAAUGUCAUCUGUGAGACCCAGAAUGUGGGCCCCGGGGAGCCACGGGACAUAUUUCUGAAGGUAGCCAGUGGUCCGAGCCCGGAGAUCAAAGACUUCUUUGUCAUCAUUUACUCGGAUCGCUGGCUGGCGACACCCACACAGACGUGGCAGGUCUACCUCCACUCCCUGCAGCGCGUGGAUGUCUCCUGCGUCGCAGGCCAGCUGACCCGCCUGUCCCUUGUCCUUCGGGGGACGCAGACAGUGAGGAAAGUGAGAGCUUUCACCUCGCAUCCCCAGGAGCUGAAGACAGAUCCCAAAGGUGUCUUCGUGCUCCCGCCUCGUGGGGUGCAGGACCUGCAUGUUGGCGUGAGGCCCCUCAGGGCCGGCAGCCGCUUCGUCCACCUCAACCUGGUGGACGUGGAUUGCCACCAGCUGGUGGCCUCCUGGCUCGUGUGCCUCUCCUGCCGCCAGCCGCUCAUCUCCAAGGCCUUUGAGAUCACAUUGGCUGCGGGCGAAGGGAAGGGUGUCAACAAGAGGAUCACCUACACCAACCCCUACCCCUCCCGGAGGACGUUCCACCUUCACAGCGACCACCCGGAGCUGCUGCGGUUCAGGGAGGACUCCUUCCAGGUCGGGGGUGGAGAGACCUACACCAUCGGCUUGCAGUUUGCGCCUAGUCAGAGAGUAGGGGAGGAGGAGAUCCUGAUCUACAUCAAUGACCAUGAGGACAAAAACGAAGAGGCAUUUUGCGUGAAGGUCAUCUACCAGUGAGGACUUGAGGGUGACGUCCUUCCUGCGGCACCCGGCUGGGGCCUGUCUGUGCCCCUCCUGCCCUGCAGGCCGUCCUCCCCGCGUCUCUGCAGCCUUUCACUUCAGUGCCCACCUGGCUGACCUGUGCACUUGGCUGAGGAAGCAGAGACCGAGCGCUGGUCAUUUUGUAGUACCUGCGUCCAGCUUAGCUGCUGCUGACACCCAGCAGGCCUGGGUUCCGUGAGCGUGGACUCCGUGGCGGUGGCUGUGGCUCUGGUGCUGCCAUCUAUGCAUGUGGGACCCUUGUUAUCUCUGUUGCUCAAAAUGUAUUUUAUGAAUCAUCCUAAAUGAUAAAAUUAUGUUUUUCUUACUGGAUUUUGUACAAACAUAAUCUAUUAUUUGCUAUGCAAUAUUUUAUGCUGGUAUUAUGUCUGUUUUUUAAAUGGUUGAACGAAAUACUAAACUUUUACACAUC
Molecule: small RNA, 4467 nt
Filed under: Pongo abelii (Sumatran orangutan)
Lineage: Eukaryota; Metazoa; Chordata; Mammalia; Primates; Hominidae
Description: processed transcript
Source: RNAcentral